This 423-nucleotide ribosomal RNA is filed under the name uncultured bacterium. RNAcentral's name for it is "bacterial SSU rRNA". It matches the Rfam family "Bacterial small subunit ribosomal RNA", at positions 207 to 622 of the family's 1533-position model. The record is from RNAcentral.
AAGACCUUGCGCUUUUGGAGCGGCCGAUGCCUGAUUAGCUAGUUGGUGAGGUAAAGGCUCACCAAGGCAUCGAUCAGUAGUUGGUCUGAGAGGACGACCAGCCACACUGGGACUGAGACACGGCCCAGACUCCUACGGGAGGCAGCAGUGGGGAAUUUUGGACAAUGGGGGCAACCCUGAUCCAGCCAUGCCGCGUGAGUGAAGAAGGCCUUCGGGUUGUAAAGCUCUUUCAGCCGGAACGAAACGGUUACGGUUAAUACCCGUGACUACUGACGGUACCGGAAGAAGAAGCACCGGCUAACUACGUGCCAGCAGCCGCGGUAAUACGUAGGGUGCGAGCGUUAAUCGGAAUUACUGGGCGUAAAGCGUGCGCAGGUGGUUUUGUAAGUCAGAUGUGAAAGCCCCGGGCUCAACCUGGGAACU